Molecule: long non-coding RNA, 1384 nt
Organism: Vigna angularis (adzuki bean)
Lineage: Eukaryota; Viridiplantae; Streptophyta; Magnoliopsida; Fabales; Fabaceae
Exons: 3
Source: RefSeq, a predicted model, not a curated record
UUGAUUUGAGAGAAGAAUAUAUAUACAUGUAUAAAGUGGAGGUAAAUGAUUUAGGGUGAAUUGAAUUCGUAUUAGUUGGAGUGAGUGAUGUAAAGAAAGAGAAGAACAUAGAGAGAAUGGAAGCGGAAAUGAAUAAAAUAUAUAGUUGCAUACAGCUGUGAUGAUGAAAAAGGCAACGGUGUACUGUUUAAUGAUGAAAAUUUUAGUAGAAAAUGAGAAAGAGAUUGGCGUAUGUGUUUGUAUGCAGUAUGAUAUAUGAAGAUGAGAAGGAUGGAAGGAUUUGAUGAUUAAGUUAGUAUAUAGAAAAAUUGUUUUUGUGUGUGUGUGAGAGAGAGAGGGCAUAACAUAAUUAGGGAGGUGUGGACCACGUGCAUGAUGAAAUGCUUCAAACAAGCACAAUGUCUUCCCUCAGCCGCCGGGGCCCGCGACCACAUUAAAAAAAAAGCAAUUUGGAUAUUAUGUUAAGUCUUUUGUCCGCUCCAUUAUGUCUUCACAACUUUCAACAAAUUCACAGUAAAACUAUUAUCAAUGUUACUUUGUUUAUUCUCAACCGUUGCCUGUGUUUCAUCGUUUCCAUAGAACUUACAAAGAUGUGACUGCUCAGCUACAGAUCAGUAAACAUAUGUUGACAGAAAGAUGAAUCAACAACAAAAGGAAACAUGGAUCUCUGACAGUGGUAGCUGCACCUUGUAACAGGGCAUUUAAUUUACUUAUCCGACAUAUAACAUGAAAGAUGGCACAAAUGCCCCAUCAUGGUUUUUUAGUCCCGUGAUUUCUGUGCUACCCAGUUGGAGAAAAUCUGAUACAAUAUUGCAAGGGUUCAUCUUUAGUUCAAACUGUGCAUAUAUCAAUGAUAAUAGUAAAAACUGAAGGUAUGGUUAACCUUUUUGUCUGAAAAAUUGUGAGCCACUGCUAACAUGGAUAUAUCUUACAUAUAUAUCCCAAUUUCCCUUCUUCUUUCCCACUUCAGGCCCCUCACGCAGUAUAUUCUACAAAAGUCAUUGUGAUGCUAUUAUUAUUAUUAUUUUCAAUCACUCAAUCAUGUUGGUGGACAAAACAUAAAAGUAUAGCAUGUCGUUUUCAUUCCAAUAUUUCUAUGUACACUUUAAUAAUCCAUAUGCUUUGCAUCUGUAUGCCAGUAAGUUUCGGACUUCAACUCAUUGAUUUCCCCGGGAACACUAUUCUUUUAUUUCAGUACAGCCAAACCCUUUAUCACUUUAUUGCAAAGCCUUACGGUAAUUCUACUGCACAUUAGAUGUUUGGUUGGUAAAUUUUCAGAUUAAAUCAUGCUUUAAAAAAGUUUGAUAUGAAGUCAUGUGAUUAUCAUGUGUUUUCUUGAAAAGGUAAUAGAAAAAAGCAGGGUUAGGAAUAGAAACAUUGAACA